GUACUUGCUUCGGCAGUACAUAUACUAAAUUUGGAACGAUACAAAGAAGAUUAGCAUGGCCCCUGCGCAAGAAUGACACACAAAAUCGUGAAGCGUUCCACAUUAUU
Molecule: small nuclear RNA, 107 nt
Organism: Monomorium pharaonis (pharaoh ant)
Lineage: Eukaryota; Metazoa; Arthropoda; Insecta; Hymenoptera; Formicidae
Source: RefSeq, a predicted model, not a curated record